CGAAUUCGCCCUUAGAGUUUGAUCCUGGCUCAGGACGAACGCUGGCGGCGUGCUUAACACAUGCAAGUCGAACGGAAAGGCCUCUUUCGGGGGGUACUCGAGUGGCGAACGGGUGAGUAACACGUGAGUAACCUGCCCUUGACUUUGGGAUAACUUCAGGAAACUGGGGCUAAUACCGGAUAGGAGCUCCUGCUGCAUGGUGGGGGUUGGAAAGUUUCGGCGGUUGGGGAUGGACUCGCGGCUUAUCAGCUUGUUGGUGGGGUAGUGGCUUACCAAGGCUUUGACGGGUAGCCGGCCUGAGAGGGUGACCGGCCACAUUGGGACUGAGAUACGGCCCAGACUCCUACGGGAGGCAGCAGUGGGGAAUAUUGCACAAUGGGUGGAAGCCUGAUGCAGCAACGCCGUGUGCGGGAUGACGGCCUUCGGGUUGUAAACCGCUUUCGCUCAUGACGAAGCUUUGUGUGACGGUAGUGGGUAAAGAAGCACCGGCUAACUACGUGCCAGCAGCCGCGGUGAUACGUAGGGUGCGAGCGUUGUCCCGAUUUAUUGGGCGUAAAGGGCUCGUAGGUGGUUGAUCGCGUCGGAAGUAUAAUCUUGGGGCUUAACCCUGAGCGUGCUUUUGAUACUGGUUGACUUGAGGAAGGUAGGGGAGAAUAGAAUUCCUGGUGGAGCGGUGGAGUGCGCAGAUAUCAGGAGGAACACCGGGUGGCGAGGGCGGCUCUCCUGGGACUUUUCUGACCCUGAGGAGCGAAAGCGUGGGGAGCGAACAGGAUUAGAUACCCUGCAAGUC
This 790-nucleotide ribosomal RNA is filed under the name uncultured bacterium. RNAcentral's name for it is "bacterial SSU rRNA". It matches the Rfam family "Bacterial small subunit ribosomal RNA", at positions 1 to 795 of the family's 1533-position model. The record is from RNAcentral.